AUGGCGGCCAGGGUCCCUCCUAGCGUUUGCAGCCUGCCAUUCCACCCAUUGUGCCCAGCUCUGCACUUCAGCUGGAGCUGCUCCUGUGAGCCCAGGGAUUUGGGAAGGGCAAGUGGUUUCUGGGCUGCGAAUUGGUCAGAGAGAACAAAGACACAUGGAAAGGCUGCUUGGGGGGAGGGUGGCUCUGGCUGCCCAGACUUCCCGGCAAAAAGCUGGUUGCCAGUCACUUGUUCAGGGUCCUCCUACUUGUGCCCCCACCUCUACUUCCCCAGCUUACCAUCCUCUUCCCUCUGCUCUUUGCCACAUCUCUCUCUCUCUCUGUCUCUGUCUCUGUCUCUCCCUCUAACUCCUUGUCUCUCUCUCAUUCCCAUUCUCUUCCUCUGUCUGUCUGUCUCUCUCUCUGUCUCUGUCUGUCUGUCUCUGUCUCUGUCUCUCUGUCUGUCUCUGUCUGUCUCUCUGUCACUCUGUCUCUGUCUCUCUGUCUCUGACUGUCUCUCUGUCACUCUGUCUCCCUCUCUCCCUUCCUCUCUGUCUCUGUCUCUCCCUCUAACUCCUUGUCUCUCUCUCACUCCCAUUCUCUUCCUCUCUCUGUCUGUCUGUCUCUGCCUCUGCCCCUCCCCUCUGUCUCUGUCUCUCUCUGUCUCUGUCUCUGUCUGUCUGUCUGUCUGUCUCUGUUUCUCUUUCUAUCUGGUCACUGCUCCUUGCUAGAUUGAGAAUGGGUUACAUCAUGGGAGACAGGCAAUGUCUGGAAAGACAGACGCUUGUGUGGGUGACCCGGAUGUGCCAGGAAGAGGAGGGAGAAGCGUGCCUUCAGCUCAGGGUCCUUCAGGCUUUUGAUCUCAGCCAUAACAACAGCUUUUAUUUCUAUGAGCUCUUUACACUUUAGGGCUAUCCAAGAUGCUGGAGCAAGGAGGGACCUCUGAGGUUAUUGAAUUCAACCUCCUUAGUCUACAGAUGAGCCAAUGGAGAACCAAAGGAGGAAGUGACUUAUCCAAGUUCCCACCUAGUAAUCCAUAGUCUGACUCUGAAUGCAGAACCCUUCCUGUCUGCACCACAAACAUCCCUUUUGCAUGUCACCCCUCUUGGCAAAGUCUUUUCCUCAAGGCAACUCUCUGAGGUAGGCAUUGGAAGGCUCUUGCCUCUAUCUUACAGAUAAGGAAACUGAGGCACAAUGGUAUACAGAUCCUUUCAGAUCACAAAUCUAGCAUUAUCUUCACAUGGUACCUCUCAAAGGUAGGGAUGGUGUAGGGGUAGCCUAGUAGCUUCUCAUAGUUCCUACAUAGAAAGGAAUACUAUGCAGGGGUAUAGAUGGUGCUGGUGGGAAACAAGGUGAUUUGGGGUCAGUGGGGGGAAGUCCUGAAAGAAAUCCUGGAUUUAGACUUAUUAGGGGCUUUGAAGGAGAUCACUUGCUUGAUUUACAUUAUUUAUAUGAUAAGGGAAUAGAAUAGAGAAAUAGGUGACUUGCCCAGGGUCACACGGCUACUGUGACCAAGUCAGGAUUUGAAGGGAGAAGGAUUGGGGCUCUCAAUUAUUCACUUGAAGUAUUUUUGACAAUCCAGCCAGUGUCUACUGGGUGCCCUCCUUUAUCCUCGGCAAGUCUGAAUCCUUCAGAGAGAGACAGAGUCCAGAGAUUUUGAAUUGAAAGUCUGAAAGAAAGUGUUCUCCGUGUGGGCGGGGGAAGUUUCCCCUACCCACAGGAGGCCUUUUC
Molecule: long non-coding RNA, 1708 nt
Filed under: Monodelphis domestica (gray short-tailed opossum)
Lineage: Eukaryota; Metazoa; Chordata; Mammalia; Didelphimorphia; Didelphidae
Description: lncRNA (ENSMODG00000036385.1)
Source: RNAcentral